UGGAUGUCGGGCAGAACGGGGGGAGAAGAUGGCGGCGGUUACCUGAGGAGAAGAUGCCUGGGGCCCGGCGAUCAUCGCAGAAAUCCAGCGGAGAUCACGGCUCAGUAUCCUGUGUGUAGACGUGCGCUCAGUCCAGUCACCGCUCUACCGCCAUCUCAUUCUCUCCUCUGCCAGGCUGAUAAAGGACCAAACAAUGGCGCGGAGCGGCGGACGCCUUUACAUCAUCCUGGACGGUUUCUAUAUCAUUGAUCUCACUGAGAGUGGAUGUGGUCAGACCUUAUGCAGAGCAAACUCCUCCACCGUCCUGUCAUCCGGCCAA
Molecule: long non-coding RNA, 319 nt
Organism: Hyla sarda
Lineage: Eukaryota; Metazoa; Chordata; Amphibia; Anura; Hylidae
Exons: 3
Source: RefSeq, a predicted model, not a curated record